This 1996-nucleotide long non-coding RNA is filed under the name Homo sapiens (human). RNAcentral's name for it is "long non-coding RNA NONHSAT180079.1". The record is from RNAcentral. Lineage: Eukaryota; Metazoa; Chordata; Mammalia; Primates; Hominidae.
CGUGGAUGCACCUUGAGGACAUCAUGCUCAGUGAGAGAUGCCAGAGACACAGAAGGACACACCCCGCAUGGUUCCACUCCUAGGAGGUCCAUAGAGCUGUCAGAUUCAGGGAGACAAAAGGAAAAAAUAACUGAAGGAAGGCUGCAGAGGUCCCACAUCCGCAGCUUACAGAAACGGAGGCCCGGAGGGCAUGAUGUCCCCACAGGUGCCCUGGAAGAAAAAAGCGAGCCAUAAGUCAAGGCCAGAAAAAGGCUGCCUUUGCCGUUGACAAAAGAGGCCCCGGCCCGGACUCGGCAGCGCCACCCGCCCGGCAGCCGCAGGCUCCGUGGAAGGAAGGUCCUGCCCCGUGUCUCCAUCCCGUCUCCCUGGGCCUGGGCGCUCAGACCAGGUUGUACUCCUUGAGGUUGAGCUGCAGGAUGGUGUCCUUCACGGCCGCGAACACGAAGCGGAUGUUCUCCGUGUCGGUGGCACACGUGAAGUCAGGUCCUUCUUGUUGAGGAAGAGGAUGACGGAGGAGUUCUGGAACCAGGGGACUUGGUCGUAUUCGCUGAGGGCGACGAGAAACAUGAUGGAUGUCACGUUCUCAAAGCAGUGGAUCCACUUCCUCCGCUCCGACCGCUGGCCCCCCACAUCCACCAUCCUGAAAGGACACAGCGCCAGGACUCAGCCACCUGGCGCCCCAAGGCCCAAUCUGCAAUCCCAGGACGGCUCCCACCCAAGCCCCUCCUGCCACACCAGACUGACAUCGGCUGGAGCAGGAAGAGCCCCCACUCUUAGAACGGGCAAGGACGCUCUCAGAGAGCGGCCGCACCGCCUCCAGGGGUGACCACCGCAGACCCUUCCCUCACUGGCAAAGGGGCCUGAGACCACUGGGCCCAGGGAAGCGGGCGCUAGUGUGGGGGUGUGAGAACCCAGAGGAUUCUGGGCGCCAGCUGCUGCGGGAACCUGCGAUGGGUGCCCAGGGACCCUACAUCUGGCAUCUGGAUGUCACCCUGAGCACAGAAGCCUUUCCCCUCACUGGGCCAGGGACACAGAUGUUCACCAAGCGUCACUCGCAGGAGUAAACACUGAUGCCACAGUUGCUCCCUGCAGGGACCCUCCAGUGACGGCUGCAGAGGGCAGAGUUGCCGGUAUCCUCCUGGGGCAGAAGAGCAGGCGCAGCGCCCUGCCCCGCGUGGUGAGCAGCUCAACCUCACACUCUCAGGCCACGCACAGGCGGGAGAAAGAAAAUCAGCUCAGACGAUGUCUGCGGGCGUGCGUUCCUUACGGGACGUUUGCCUCUUUCUACUUGUGACUUUUCUAAGUUUUCUAUAACGAGAAAAGGCACUUUGGUCUCCUUGAAAGAAUACAAAGGCAGAAGCGGAGAGUGCCCCUCAGGCCCUGGCCCCAGGCCCCAGGGAAGGCCGGGGUCCCUGCAACUCUGCCGAGGAGAGCGGGGCUGCUUUGGGCAUGUGAGUGGUGAAAUCCACCUGGUCUGGUCUGCGGGGGAGUCCAGCAGGCACCGGUGGAUGACAGAUGUGCCAGGUGACUCUAAGGGACAAGAGGGCCCGCACCAGCAGCUGUGGCCAGGCGGGAGGACAGUGGGUGUGCCGACACCAGGCCACAGCCCGUCUGGAGCGCGAGGCCUCUCCUGCACGCCUGCGGCGGCCGGCAGGGCUGGGAUCCGGGUCCCCCCGUGUCUUGUCCCCACCUGAGGGAGCAGGAGCCUCUCCUCACGCACUGGGACGAUCCCACCGGCCUUCAAGGCCUCCAGCUGCAUCCCACAGCACCUGGCCGGCCCUCUGCCAGCGUGUGGUGGACAGAGGCGGCUGGCAGAGAAACAAUGGUGGCAGAGGAGUAGGCUCAGGACGGGGGUCUGCACCCGGCACAGAGGGCACAGCCGGGCCGGGCGCGGUGGCUCACGCCUGUAAUCCCAGCACUUUGGGAGGCCGAGGCAGGCGGAUCACGAGGUCAGGAGGUCGAGACCAUCCUGGCUAACAUGGUGAAACCACAUCUC